AGAGAGAGACAUGCGCGCAUAUCAAUAAGCGGAGGAAAAGAAAGCUAACUAAGGAUUCCCUCAGUAACGGCGAGUGAAGCGGGAAGAGCUCAAAUUUGAAAUCUUCAAGGUUUUACCUUGACGAAUUGUAGUUUAAAGAAGUGUUUUCUGCUGAAGUUUUGGUAAAAGUUCUUUGGAAUAGGACAUCAUAGAGGGUGAGAAUCCCGUAUUUGACCAUUAUUUUCAGCUUUGUGAUACACUUUCAAAGAGUCGGAUUGUUUGGGAAUGCAGUCCAAAAUGGGUGGUAAAUUUCAUCUAAAGCUAAAUAUUGGCGAGAGACCGAUAGCGAACAAGUACCGUGAGGGAAAGAUGAAAAGAACUUUGAAAAGAGAGUUAAACAGUACGUGAAAUUGUCAAAGGGAAGCGUUUGACACCAGUGUUGUUUUCUCGAAAAUCAAUUAAAAAUGGCUCGAUUUUGUAUUGUUGAGACCUUAAAAGCUCACUGUACAUUUUUCGUGUCUUUUUUAAUGCACUUUUCGUUUAACAAGUCAACAUCAGUUUCUUUUGUUGUAAAAGGGUCAUUGGAAGGUGGCUUUCUUUUCGGAGAAAGUGUUUAUAGCCUUUGGCCUCUGCAAUCGGAGAGACUGAGGUCUGCAGCGUAGACUCUUCGGGGUUAGAUACAUUUGUGCUAAGUUAUAGCUUUUUAUAGACAACUUGUUGACUAUAAUUAGUCUUGUAGCUUACUCGCUUAUGCUAUUUUACCUACGCUUAGGAUGUUGAAGAUGUAGCACAUCAU
This 775-nucleotide ribosomal RNA is filed under the name uncultured Neocallimastigales. RNAcentral's name for it is "partial large subunit ribosomal RNA". It matches the Rfam family "Eukaryotic large subunit ribosomal RNA", at positions 23 to 634 of the family's 3401-position model. Lineage: Eukaryota; Fungi; Neocallimastigomycota; Neocallimastigomycetes; Neocallimastigales. The record is from RNAcentral.